UAUGGCUUCUCCUUUGUAUGAACUCUCAGGUGUUUCCUCAGGUCUGAAGCUCUCAAAAAUGUUUUGUCGCAUUGAUCACAUGCGUACAGUUUCUCUCUAGUGUGGAUGUUCAUAUGUUCCUUAAGGUGUGCUGAUUGUGUGAAACUCUUCCCACAUUGAUCACAAGUGUAUGGCUUCUCUCCAGUAUGAACUCUCAUAUGCCCUGUAAGGUGUCCUUUUCGUGUGAAACUUUUCCCGCACUGAUCACAUGUAUAAAGUUUCUCUCCAGUGUGGAUCCUCAUAUGCUCUGUAAGAUGUCCUUUUAGUGUGAAACUCUUCCCGCAUUGACCACAAGUGUAUGGUUUCUCUCCAGUAUGAACUCUCAUAUGUCCUGUAAGGUGUCCUUUUCGUGUGAAACUCUUCCCGCACUGAUCACAUGUGUACGGUUUCUCUCCAGUGUGGAUGUUUAUGUGUAUCUUAAGGCUUGAUGACUGAGUGAAGCUCUUCCCACACUGAUCACAAGUGUACGGUUUCUCUUCAGUAUGAACUCUCAU
This is a long non-coding RNA of Sinocyclocheilus grahami, 533 nucleotides long. RefSeq lists it as uncharacterized. The transcript has 3 exons. Lineage: Eukaryota; Metazoa; Chordata; Actinopteri; Cypriniformes; Cyprinidae. The record is from RefSeq and is a predicted model, not a curated record.